RNAcentral lists this ribosomal RNA (435 nucleotides) under uncultured bacterium. Its description in RNAcentral is "bacterial SSU rRNA". It matches the Rfam family "Bacterial small subunit ribosomal RNA", at positions 29 to 507 of the family's 1533-position model. The record is from RNAcentral.
AGCGAACGCUGGCGGCAGGCCUAACACAUGCAAGUCGAACGGAUCCUUCGGGAUUAGUGGCGGACGGGUGAGUAACACGUGGGAACGUGCCUUUUGGUUCGGAACAACUCAGGGGAAACUUGAGCUAAUACCGAAUGUGCCCUUCGGGGGAAAGGAUUUAUCGCCAUUAGAGCGGCCCGCGUCUGAUUAGCUAGUUGGUGGGGUAAAGGCUCACCAAGGCUACGAUCAGUAGCUGGUCUGAGAGGAUGAUCAGCCACAUUGGGACUGAGACACGGCCCAAACUCCUACGGGAGGCAGCAGUGGGGAAUCUUGCGCAAUGGGCGAAAGCCUGACGCAGCCAUGCCGCGUGAAUGAUGAAGGUCUUAGGAUUGUAAAGUUCUUUAGCCUGUGACGAUGAUGACGGUAACAGGAGAAUAAGCCCCGGCUAACUUCGUG